Mytilus californianus (California mussel) is the source of this 2651-nucleotide long non-coding RNA. RefSeq lists it as uncharacterized. Lineage: Eukaryota; Metazoa; Mollusca; Bivalvia; Mytilida; Mytilidae. The transcript is spliced from 6 exons. The record is from RefSeq and is a predicted model, not a curated record.
GAGCAAUUCUCUGUAAUCACCAAAAUAUUUCGGCACGCACUAAAAAAUAUUUGUUUUAAACUUUAUUAGUUCAAUAGAGCCACAUGAGCUUAACAAAAAAUAUUAUUACACUUAGCCCCAUAUGUUUACCGUUUCCUUGGUAACAGGACUUAAAGUGGCAAGAAAGAGGGAAAAUGCAGUGUUUACAAAUUAUGAUCAAUUAUGUCUAAUAAAAAGAAAAUAAUAUAGAUAUUCAGACAUUUAAAACUUUUUUCAAUUUAAAAAAAACAAAUAAAAAUUGUGUUCAACAGUAAACUUUCUUAAAAAAUAAUCUGUAUAGCUAAAAUAGGGUAAAAAGUGCAAUAAAAGGGGGGUUUUAGAGCCUAUUUUGAUCAGGUGUUGUAAAAAAAUGCAGCCAUUUCUCAUAUUGUUGAUUAUAUGAAUAGAGAGAAUGGAUUAAGGUUAUACAAGAAAAGAAAAAAAAUCAGUGGGCAAACUUGACUGUAUUGAAAUUAAUUGACCCUGAAAAGUUGAGUUGUCCUGUAUUUACCUAAUCAAAUUACCUCCCUUUACGGAGUUCUCUUGUAGAGAAACAAAUUAAAAACAGGAGGGAAAAUGUAAACAAAUGCAGACAACAAUGUUAUUUUGCGAAUUUCUUCAUGUUUUAUAUUCAAGCAUAAUGGGAAAUGGAUAAAUUUUUCACAGUGAUGUUAGCCUACACUUAUAUAUAUGGUUAAGUUGGUAUGAUUUGCUCAUAUUUUGAAAAUAUUGUCAGAACAAUGGAACUGUGUCUGUACUAAGACAGUGUAUUUUAUAGUUUAUUUUGCUUACCGUAACUAACUUUUUUAAUGUAUUUAUUUAUAUAAUCUUCGAAUAAUUGUUAUAAAAUGUGUAGCAUAAAAGAUUUCUUAGGCAAUUGUGACAACUGCAGUGACGACAGGUAUUUUUGAAAAUGCUUCCAUUGGAAAAAGAGACAUGUAUAAAUUUUUGUCAGAAAUUUUUUUACUUAAAUCUGACAUUACAUUGUACGUCACAACUGAGGAUCUGUGAUAUUCAUAGAAAUAUUAUCAUCGAAACAACUAACAAGAAAUAUAGAAGGAAAGAUUGUGGUGUGCCUUCAGUAAAUGUCAUUUUGAAAUAUCAUAAUACUACAAAAGCAGUGGAUCGACAUGUUACACCCAAGAUGUUUCAAAGAAUUGUUACAAAGACAGGCAUUUUCAUUCCUAUUGGAACAUCAAUUUGUAGACUGUGUAGAGAAAAACUAUUUGGAAAUAACAGUAUUGAGCAUGUUGAGGAGGAGAACACUAUUGAGACAAAUACAAAGAACAAGAUUGCAGAAGCUGAAAUACUACCACCUUAAAGAAAGAGGGCACUUGAUAAAGUACCAGGGAAGCGUUACAGGGUGAAGGUUGUUGACACAAUCCUUGAUUUAGAUGUAACCAAGAAUAAAGAAACAAUAACCAAUAUUACAAGUUUUUACAACUUUAGAUUUGAGAGCAGUCAUUUGAGGAUGUGGCAGACAUACAAUAUUGAUGAAGGAAAGCUUGUGACUUUAAAAUCAACAAAGAAUUCUGCAGAGGCGGAUUUAGAGGGUUUUUCAGGGGACCCGGGCCCCCCUUUUGUGGGAAACAUUUUGUUGAUUAUAUAGGGAAUCACUGAAACAUGACUGGAGCGGGCCCCUUCUUAAGCAGUCAGUGGGCCCCCCCUUAUGAAAAUUUCUGGAUCCGCCACUGUUCUGUGCAGUUAAAAGUACUCAAUGACUGGACAGAGAUGUCUUUUAAUGACCUCAUUACUGAAGGAACAGAAUAGGCUUCAAAACAACAGAAGCAGACAUUCAUUUGUUCUAUGGAUGGCUGCAUUCAAGAGUUCAAGAACCAGAUUAGUCUUGAUCAACACCUCCUUCAAGGCAGCUGUGAAUAUAAGCUAGAGAAAGGCCCAUUAAAAGAUCAGGCAAAAGUUCUAUAUGCCCAAAAGCUGUCAAAUAAUGUACAUCAUUGUCCUGAUAUGCAAGCAGUCUUACUAGAAAAUGCAUGUACUACAGACUUGAGUGCCAAAGAAAUGUGAUGGGCAUUGAAAGUGAAAAAGAAAAAGAUUUUCUUUAGCAUCAAACAGAAAGAAUUCAUGACGGAUUUAUUUUAUUUAUCUUGAAAGGAUGCAAAAAGCAGCCAUAUUGGAUUCAACGACAUUAUAUUUUCCCAAUAAAUAGGCGAAAUAGAGAAAAAAACGCCUACCUUAAACUACUUUGUAAUAGCUUAUAUCCAAAUUUGAAGCGUAAACAAAGCCCCAAAACAUACUAUGUUACAGUUUUACACUUGAAGUAUUCAUAUGACGUCAUGAUGUUGCUAUGAAGUUUAUGUGCCAAAGAAGUCAACAACAUUUUGUGGAAUUUUUAUUUUAAGCAACUAUAUGUCCAAAUAAAAAACAGAAACAAUAUCUUUAUUGACUAUUGCAUUAGAAUGGAUAUAACUGUAUUGUAUUUUAAGGUUUGUGGACGUAAAUCUAGAUUUUACUGUUGCAAUUAUCUGUUUACCUAGCUCUGCUACAGGUCACUAGGUAAACUCAAUUUGCGACAGUAAUAUCUACGUUUUAUGUCCGAAAAGGUUAAAAUACAAUACAGUUAUCUCCUAAAUUACCUACACAUGAUUGCACCAAUAUGAGUUUAAUAUAAUGAA